This 515-nucleotide ribosomal RNA is filed under the name Pelopidas mathias (small branded swift). Its description in RNAcentral is "partial 16S ribosomal RNA". The stretch from base 389 to 515 matches the Rfam family "Bacterial large subunit ribosomal RNA", at positions 2473 to 2600 of the family's 2925-position model. Lineage: Eukaryota; Metazoa; Arthropoda; Insecta; Lepidoptera; Hesperiidae. The record is from RNAcentral.
GUCUUUUUGAUGAUAAUUUAAAGUCGAAUCUGCCCACUGAUUAAUAAAUUAAAGGGCUGCAGUAUAUUGACUGUACAAAGGUAGCAUAAUAAUUAGUCUUUUAAUUGAAGACUUGUAUGAAAGAUUUGAUGAGAUAUAAACUGUCUCUUUUUUAAAAUUAAAAUUUAAUUUUUUAGUAAAAAAGCUAAAAUAAAUUUAAAAGACGAGAAGACCCUAUAGAGUUUUAUAAUUGAAUUAAUUAAAAAUUUAUUUUUAAUUUAAAAAAUAAUUAGUUUAAUUAUUUUAUUGGGGUGAUAAAAAAAUUAAAAUAACUUUUUUUUUUAUUUUAAACAUUAAUUAAUGAAUAAUUGAUCCAUAAUUUAUGAUUACAAGAAAAAAUUACCUUAGGGAUAACAGCGUAAUUUUUUUUUUUAGUUCUUAUAAGAAAAAAAGUUUGCGACCUCGAUGUUGGAUUAAGAUAAAAUUUAAAUGUAGAAGUUUAAAGUUUUGAUCUGUUCGAUCAUUAAAAUCUUACA